This 61-nucleotide ribosomal RNA is filed under the name Staphylococcus delphini. Its description in RNAcentral is "partial 23S ribosomal RNA". Lineage: Bacteria; Bacillati; Bacillota; Bacilli; Caryophanales; Staphylococcaceae. The record is from RNAcentral. RNAcentral also lists the same sequence under 2 other names.
GAGGUGGAAGCGUAGCGAUACGUGGAGCUGACGAAUACUAAUCGAUCGAAGACUUAAUCAA